RNAcentral lists this small RNA (133 nucleotides) under Arabidopsis thaliana (thale cress). RNAcentral's name for it is "ATSL091650". The record is from RNAcentral. Lineage: Eukaryota; Viridiplantae; Streptophyta; Magnoliopsida; Brassicales; Brassicaceae.
ACCGACAAACUGAGCUCCAUCACACAAGAGGCUGUUGUCCUAGGAAAAACGUACAAGGACAAGAAGAUGGUGAAAACAUUUCUCAAGAGUCUGCCAGACAAGCUUCAGUCACACAAGUCAGAGAUUGAUGUAU